Molecule: ribosomal RNA, 465 nt
Filed under: uncultured bacterium
Lineage: Bacteria
Description: bacterial SSU rRNA
Rfam family: Bacterial small subunit ribosomal RNA
Source: RNAcentral
CCUACGGGCUGCAGCAGUAGGGAAUCUUCGGCAAUGGACGAAAGUCUGACCGAGCAACGCCGCGUGAGUGAAGAAGGUUUUCGGAUUGUAAAACUCUGUUGUUAGAGAAGAACAAGUAGGAGAGUAACUGCUCUUACCUUGACGGUUUCUAACCAGAAAGCCACGGCUAGCUACGUGCCAGCAGCCGCGGUAAUACGUAGGUGGCAAGCGUUGUCCGGAUUUAUUGGGCGUAAAGCGAGCGCAGGCGGUCUUUUAAGUCUGAUGUGAAAGCCCUCGGCUCAACCGAGGUAGGUCAUUGGAAACUGGAGGACUUGAGUGCAGAAGAGGAGAGUGGAAUUCCAUGUGUAGCGGUGAAAUGCGUAGAUAUAUGGAGGAACACCAGUGGCGAAGGCGACUCUCUGCUCUGUAACUGACGCUGAGGCUCGAAAGCGUGGGGAGCAAACAGGAUUAGAUACCCCCGUAGUC